UACGGAGGGUGCGAGCGUUGUCCGGAAUCACUGGGCGUAAAGGGCGCGUAGGUGGCGCGAGAAGUCAACGGUGAAAGCUCGUCGCUCAACGACGAGUCGGCCGUCGAUACUCGUCGCGCUGGAGCAUUGUAGAGGCUCAUGGAAUUCCGGGUGUAGCGGUGGAAUGCGUAGAGAGUCCGGAAGAACACCGGUGGCGAAGGCGGUGAAGCUGG
This 212-nucleotide ribosomal RNA is filed under the name uncultured bacterium. RNAcentral's name for it is "partial 16S ribosomal RNA". It matches the Rfam family "Bacterial small subunit ribosomal RNA", at positions 524 to 732 of the family's 1533-position model. The record is from RNAcentral.